UGAAAAGAACUGAGGUGAUCAGAGUGAAAUAGAACCUGAAACCAUUUGCUUACAAUCAUUCAGAGCCCUAUGUAGCAAUACAGGGUGAUGGACUGCCUUUUGCAUAAUGAGCCUGCGAGUUGUGGUGUCUGGCAAGGUUAAGCAAACGCGAAGCCGUAGCGAAAGCGAGUCUGAAUAGGGCGCUUAGUCAGAUGCUGCAGACCCGAAACGAAGUGAUCUAUCCAUGAGCAAGUUGAAGCUAGUGUAAGAACUAGUGGAGGACUGAACCCAUAGGCGUUGAAAAGCCCCGGGAUGACUUGUGGAUAGGGGUGAAAGGCCAAUCAAACUUCGUGAUAGCUGGUUCUCUCCGAAAUAUAUUUAGGUAUAGCGUUGUGUCGUAAUAUAAGGGGGUAGAGCACUGAAUGGGCUAGGGCAUACACCAAUGUACCAAACCCUAUCAAACUCCGAAUACCUUAUAUGUAAUCACAGCAGUCAGGCGGCGAGUGAUAAAAUCCGUCGUCAAGAGGGAAACAACCCAGACUACCAGCUAAGGUCCCUAAAUCUUACUUAAGUGGAAAACGAUGUGAAGUUACUUAAACAACCAGGAGGUUGGCUUAGAAGCAGCCAUCCUUUAAAGAAAGCGUAAUAGCUCACUGGUCUAGUGAUUUUGCGCGGAAAAUAUAACGGGGCUAAAGUAAGUACCGAAGCUGUAGACUUGCGCACAACUUAGAUUAUUUAAGUUUAGAAUAUGAGAAACUAAGUUAUAUGUUUAGUUAUAUUUUUACUGAUUUUUAUAGAGUAAAGAUAGAAAUAAAACUUAGUAAAAUCAGUAAAAAUAUUCUUAGACUAAAGUUAAGUAGUUUAAGUUGUGUGCAAGUGGUAGGAGAGCGUUCUAUUUGCGUCGAAGGUAUACCGGUAAGGAGUGCUGGAGCGAAUAGAAGUGAGCAUGCAGGCAUGAGUAGCGAUAAUUAAUGUGAGAAUCAUUAACGCCGUAAACCCAAGGUUUCCUACGCGAUGCUCGUCAUCGUAGGGUUAGUCGGGUCCUAAGCCGAGUCCGAAAGGGGUAGGCGAUGGCAAAUUGGUUAAUAUUCCAAUACCAACAUUAGUGUGCGAUGGAAGGACGCUUAGGGCUAAGGGGGCUAGCGGAUGGAAGUGCUAGU
This 1139-nucleotide ribosomal RNA is filed under the name Campylobacter coli. RNAcentral describes it as "partial 23S ribosomal RNA". It matches the Rfam family "Bacterial large subunit ribosomal RNA", at positions 515 to 1511 of the family's 2925-position model. The record is from RNAcentral. Lineage: Bacteria; Pseudomonadati; Campylobacterota; Epsilonproteobacteria; Campylobacterales; Campylobacteraceae.